AUGCCAGAGAGAAGAUGCUGCUUUCUUUGCUUUGACAAGAAAAAUCACAGAUUUUUCUUCAAGAACACAACCCCAGGCAUGACUGAACUUCAGAAACCCUUGAAGACAAACCAUCCAUGCCCACUAACUCUUCUUCACCACUUCUCCUAUCCUGCCAACUACAACCAUCGGCUGGGUUUCAGACAAGAGGGUGACAAAGAGCAACUCUUCUCUGGUGUGGCUUCACAGAACGUGCUUAUUGGUGAAGGCAGUACCAGUCUCUUGCUAGGGAUUUUCCGCAGGCUGUAUUUACCUGACACAGCCGUCUCAACUUUGAAGACUCCCAUCUGGCCAAUUCUACUUCGCUGCUGUGGGAUCCAUGUUUAACGUCUUUCUCCCUUCCUCCUCUGUAAUUCACUGUAACUUCCCAGCACCUCAUGAAGUGCCUAUACUCAGAAAAUACUUGUGGUGAUGAGAAAGUGGAGGAGCAUUAUCUCUCACCGUGCCUCCAUCUCAUCUAUCUCACCGCCAACCUCUCGCCCAUGUCCUGUCUCUGGCCCGGAAUGUCUUCCCUAUUCAUAUCUGACAAUGACUUUCCUCCGUCCCUUCCAAGCCUUAUUGAAGGCACAUCUCCUCCAAGAGACCUUCCCUGACUAAGCCCUCCUUUCCUCUUCUCCCACCCCCUUCUUCUUCACCCUGACUUGCUCCCUUUAUUCAUCCCCCCUCCCAGCCCCACAACACUUAGGUACAUAUCUGUAAUUUAUGUAUAUUAAUGUCUGUCUCCCCUCUAGACUGUAAGUUCAAGGUGGGCAGGGAAUGCGGCUGUUGUAUCGUACUUUUCCAAGCGCUUAGUACAGUGUUCUGCACAUGGUUAGCGCUGAGUACGAUUGACUGUGACAAUGAGGGACACAGCAAGGUGGUUGGUAGGCAUUAAGGGACCCCAAAGGGAACUAGAUGUGUCAUUGGUGGUGUGACAGGCUGAGGGACCCCGCGACAUACUAAAGGUGCUGUUCUCGCUAAACAACAAAUGCUCAAUCUGUAUUCAAUGGGUGGUUUCCCCCUAGCAGUCACUCAGUGAUAUUUAUCGAGCGCCUAUGUGCAGUGCACUGUACCAAGCGCUUGGGAGAGUACAAUAGAACAGAAUUGGCGGCACAUUCCCUGCCUAUGAGAAGCUUACAGUCUAGAGGAGCAGUCCCUGAAAGCCCACUGUGUGCAGAACCCUGCUUUAAGUGUUUUCAUUCAAUCGGUUUUUAGGCGUGACAGAGGAAGAACAAACUGUCCCUCUAUUCAAGGAAUUGAGGUCUAAUCCAGAAGGAAGGGAGUAUUUAGACCAGAGGUGGGGGGUAAUGGGCUUUUCCUUGAACAGAAGAGGGAGGGGUGUGACUCUCUAAUCCAUGACUACUCUUCCCAAACCAUAAUCGCUACCUGGCAGUGUUGAG
This 1418-nucleotide long non-coding RNA is filed under the name Ornithorhynchus anatinus (platypus). RNAcentral describes it as "lncRNA (ENSOANG00000040992.1)". Lineage: Eukaryota; Metazoa; Chordata; Mammalia; Monotremata; Ornithorhynchidae. The record is from RNAcentral.